UGGCACCCAACAUGGGGCUCCUGGCAUGGGGGAGUCAACGAGGGAGCCGUUCGAGAACAUCGGUUAAAAGGGAAAGCAAAUUGAAUCAAAGACCAAAGCCUGCGCGGAUGAUCACUCGACGUGCUGCCUGAGUCACGGUGAGUGUAUGACAACCCCAUCCCCUUUCCCCGACAUGGGUCAAGCAUUGAGCGAACAGCAAUUGUUCGUGGGAAGCCUUAGCAAGGCAUUAAAGACAAGAGGUACAAGGAUUAAAACAAAAGAAUUGUUGCAGUAUUUUCAGUUUAUCCAUAAGGUUUGCCCUC
Cavia porcellus (domestic guinea pig) is the source of this 302-nucleotide regulatory RNA element. It matches the Rfam family "Mason-Pfizer monkey virus packaging signal". From Rfam's summary of the family: The packaging signal is located in the 5' UTR and is required for specific RNA encapsidation. Lineage: Eukaryota; Metazoa; Chordata; Mammalia; Rodentia; Caviidae. The record is from Rfam.